CCAGAUCUUCCCCAAAACUUAGAUCUGCAGAUGUUGUAGAACUACAACUCCCAUGAUGCUUUGCAUGCCUUUAGAAUGCUUUAGAAUUCCAAAGCAUCAUAAAAGCUAUACUUUAAAAACUUAUGGAACUACCUUUUGAGCACCCCUGAUCUAUACAUUUCUGUAUUAAGUUGUGUGCUCCUAUACCUUUCAUCAGCGGAUACUCUGAACAUUAG
This is a non-coding RNA of Pelobates cultripes (western spadefoot toad), 215 nucleotides long. The record is from the annotation of a GenBank genome assembly. Lineage: Eukaryota; Metazoa; Chordata; Amphibia; Anura; Pelobatidae.